Ictalurus punctatus (channel catfish) is the source of this 4143-nucleotide long non-coding RNA. RefSeq lists it as uncharacterized. Lineage: Eukaryota; Metazoa; Chordata; Actinopteri; Siluriformes; Ictaluridae. The transcript is spliced from 5 exons. The record is from RefSeq and is a predicted model, not a curated record.
GCAAAGUAUUGCUUAAAAGUCUCAAUUUACUUGCCUGGUGCUAGGGAGAAUUAGAAGGAAAGUAUUUUUACAUGAGUAAACUCAUAAUGUAAACAGACAAACAAACAAAAAGGUCAAUCAGGACUGGAGAAGUAUCAGUUCUUUGACCCAUCCUUCAACAGAAUGAAUGCGCUGGCAGUAAUUACUUACAAUCAAAUGACGAUUUAAGCAUCAAAACAAACUAAUAAAAACAGCGGAUCUCUUCAAAAGAAAUCCAACUUUUGCCCAUCAGUCCUGCCACGUUAACGUUGCUUUUCUUUUUUUUCUUCUAUCCACAAAAUAUGUUUCUUUUUCUCUUGUGAAUGAAAAUGUUGUAAGCCAUGGAAAAAGUAGCGCCUCCUCACGACCUAAACCCUGUCUAUAACCACUUAUCGCAUCAAGAGAUUGCCUUCAUUGCCCAGCAUAGUAAGAUCACAUGUCCUUGCCAUCAGGACUGGGGAUUUGCUAUACAGAGAAGAACCAAAACAGUGCGUGCUCCAUCUGUUUGUGAAGCAUCUACGCUAGAAAUGCUUUGGCACAACCUGAUGCUCGUGCAUUCUGUCGCUUUGAGUAACUGUUCAUGCUUAUCAAGAAAAGUUACAGGCAAGUAGCUGUACGAUUUCAAAGAAACAGAGUCUGCCGGUUAACAUGAUCUUAACUGGGAUACACGGUGGUGUUUGAAGGAAAUGUUUGCAUUGCUAUUUUGUGCUUUUCUAAGCAAGCUAAAACCACUGUUAGUGGUCCUAGUGCUAACCACUAAGCCAUCGUGCGCCCUUAUAUAUGAUACAUGAUGAAAACAUAUAUAACCAAUGUGGAUAUUAUGGUGAUGUAUGUGUGUCUCCUAUAUGUCAAAACUAUAUGGCUUCCCCACACACAUGUACACAUAGGGAAACAACAUGGUCAUUUUCGCAAUUACUUUUUAACCAGUUGGUUCCGAGGUAAUUUAUAUUGGGUGUAUUUAGACAAUUCAGUCCCUCCAGGAUUUUGCAAUUAACACAAAAUCAAGGAAACGCCGCAAUAUUCAGAGGAGCUCACAAUUUUUCAAAAUGACCACAGGCUUUCCGCAGAUUUUGGCCAAGAUGUGUCAUCACAACAUGCGUUCCACCAAAGCCCCCUUGGAUUCACAUGCGUUGAAGAUGAGUUCAGCUAAAAGGUCUCAUUUACCAACAAAACAUCGCUGUGAAAGACCAUGCAAAACAAUUUCGUGCGAGUGCGAUUUCGCCAGUUCAAGUAGCUCUCCACAAAAAAAAAAAAAAAGCACAAAAAGCUCCGCACAUCGCAGCACAAAUCUGCUGCACCGAAAUCAAGCUUCUUUUUUUUUUGGCCUCAACAUUCACACACUCAGAGGGAAGAGCUAUACUUCAGUGGCGGUGUUUCCUGUGCCACAGUAUACUUUAGGUGUUAGAUUUGACAGCAAAAUUUGAAAUUACAGAUCUAUUACAACAUGAAAGACAACUUUAAUGGUGUCAUAAUAAUGCAUUCCAUCAUUUAACACAAAAUAGCUUAAUAAAGGUACAGCUGUAGGGCAAAAGGUUACAAAAGCCAAACCAAAAAUGUUAUCUAGAUAUACCAACCUGAGCAAAUACAGUAUAAUUUUUUUUUAACGGGACAAGGACCAUAUCAAUUAAUGUGGAAAAGAAGGUGACAUAUAAAACCACACACGGCAAUCUACAAUAUCGCAAGGUAAAAAAUAAAAUACAACACGCAGUUAAGAACAAUCGUAUAUACAUAUGAACACUGAAUAAAACUGCAGCAAAUGAUCCAAUUGGAAUGAUAUUCUGUAUGUUCUGACUCCACCCCAUUCAUAUUGACCGAUCAACUUUCCUGACGAUUAAGAAAGUCAGCUCAAUAGGAUCGGUUAAGAUAGGUAGCAUGCGCUCACCUUCAUCAUCGCUCGUUCUGAUGAUGUUUGCGCCGGUACAGUGGUGUGGAGGCUCCGCUGUUGGGAAAUGGAGCAUUGUGCCUACUUCACAGAUCUGGAAUUUUGACUCUGAUAAGUUUUUGGAUGGAGCAGACAACGAAACCGAUUACAUGGUAGAGUGGCAGGAUGGCACAAAAAAAAAACGCCGAAAGGAGUGUUUCAGGCUGUUCACAAAGUUGCAGGUUGAGAUUCAUCCUAGUGGCUAGUGGCUGUGUUUGAUGAGGAGGCCCAUCUUAGAAGCAAUCUUCGAGGAUUUUCUGGUAGAGAGCAGAAUUCAUGUUUCCCUCAAUUAGUGCAAGUUACCCAGGCCCUGAAGCAUCAAAGCAUCCCCACAGCAUCACACUGCCACCACCAUGCUUGAUCGUAGUUCCACUUUCAACUCAUCAUUCCACGGAACAUCCUCCCAAAAGGGUUGAGGAUCAUCAAGAUGCCAUUAUUAAACGAUUCCCUGCAACCACCCAUGGUCAACUUGACAUAGCAAUGAAUUGCAAAACAGUAGUAAACUAUUGACUACUGAUUAAAAAUGUAUUGUUUUUGUUCCAGUAUCCAAUGUGCCUGUUGAAGACAUCUGUUUGUUCCUUCCUUUAUUAUGAUCCAGUACCUAAUAUUUCUGGGUUUUAUUGUAUUAAUUGUAUGUUUCCAAUAAAUAACUGCAAAUAAAUGAAAAUGUCUUUUAUAUAUACAGUACAGUACCUAUACAGUGGGGGAAAUAAGUAUUGGACGCAUCAACAUUUUUAUCAGUAAAUAUAUUUCCAGUGAGGCUAUUCACAUGAAAUUUUCACCAGACAUCAGUAUUCACUCAAGAAAUCUAGAAAUAUAAAGACUUCACAACAUUAAAGUCCAUGAAUGAAGUUAUGUGUAAUAAAGAGGAAUGACACAGGUAAAAAGUAUUGAACACGCUAACUGAAAUUAAUUUAAUACUUAGUGGAGAAGUCUUUGUUUGUAGUGACGCUUCAAGACGCUUCCUGUAUGAAGAAAUUAAUGGGCCGCAGUAUUCAGGUGUGAUUUUGGUCCGUUCUUCUAAACAUAUUGUCUUUAAAUCUUGUUCAGUUGGAUUCGAGUCAGGUGAUUGACUGGGCCGUUCUAACGCCUUCAUUUUUUCUCUCUGAAACCAAUUAAGAGUUUCCUUUGCUGUAUGUUUUGAAUCGUUGUCCUGCUGGAAGCUCCACCCACGUCUCAUCUUCAUCCUCCUGGUGGAUGGCAGCAGAUUCCUCUCAAGAUUCUCCCGGUAAAGGGCUCCAUUCAUCGUUCCUUCAAUUAGAUGAAGUCUGUCAGUACCAUGUGAUGAAAAACAGCCGAACACCAUGAUGCUUCACCUCCACACUUCACUGUUGGUGUAGUGUUUUUAGGAUGAUGUGCAGUGACAUUUCUUCUCCAAACAUGGUGUGUAGUAUGACAGCCAAGAAGUUCUAUUUUGCUCUCGUCUGAUCAGACUACACUCUCCCAGUGUUUCAUAGGCUUGUCCAGAUGAGUUGUAGCAAACUUUAAAUGAGCUUUUCUUUAGUAAUGGAGUCUUGCGGGUGAGCGUGAGCAGUGGAGUGCACUGCCUAUUGUUUUCUCUGUGACGAUGGCAACUGCUGCCUCCAAGUGUUUCUGGAGCUCUUUCCGAGUGGUCCUUGGCUCUUGGGUUACUCUUCUGACUAUUCUUCUGACUCCCUGGUCAGAAAUCUUGUGAGGAGCUCCUGUGCGUGGCCGGUUGAUGAUAGAGUCAUGUUACUUCCACUUGCAGAUAAUGGCCCCGGUGGUGCUUACUGAAAGUUUCAGAAGUUUUGAGAUAAAUCUGUAUCCAAUUCCAGCAAGAUGUUUUGCAACAAUAAGGUUCCGAAGGUUUUGGUAGAGCUCUUUGCUUUUAUCCAUCAUGAGAUGAUUCUUGUGUCACACCUUGGUAACAAAAAGCUUUUUUAUAGACCAUCAAUUUACUAACCCAGCUGAUAUUAAUUUGCACAGAUAAGAGGUGUAAUUACUUACAGAUUUCAGCUGGUUCCUUGUCUUACCUUGCCUUGGAGAACUGCUUUUUCUUCUCUACUUUUUUCCUGUGUCCUUCCACUUUAUCACACAUAACUUCUUUUUUGGACUUUCGAGUUAACACUGAUGUCUGGUGAAAAUUUCAUAUGAAUAGCCUUAUAGUAAAUAUAUUUACUGAAAAAAAUGUUGUUCAGUACUUAAUUCCCCCACUCUAUGAAUAUAUGAAUAAAACAUACAUC